GGGCCCGUAGCUCAGCAAGGAAGAGUCUAAACUCCCAAAGCACCGGGCUUUUAACCCGGUGGUCCCGGGUUCAAUUCCCGGCGGGCCCGCCA
This 92-nucleotide transfer RNA is filed under the name Desulfobacterales bacterium. Its description in RNAcentral is "tRNA-Lys". It matches the Rfam family "tRNA". From Rfam's summary of the family: Transfer RNA (tRNA) molecules are approximately 80 nucleotides in length. Their secondary structure includes four short double-helical elements and three loops (D, anti-codon, and T loops). Lineage: Bacteria; Pseudomonadati; Thermodesulfobacteriota; Desulfobacteria; Desulfobacterales. The record is from RNAcentral.